CCAUCUUUUAAUUCAGUCUGUGAUGACGCCUGAACGACAUGUCCCUCCGGGAAUUUAUUAGUGUUUCCUCAAACAAACAAACAAACAGGUUUACAUUUCAUCUGCUCUUUGGGGGAACGUCUCAAAUGGCACCCUAUCCCCUAUAUUCCUAUUCCCUAUGUAGUGCCCUACUUUAGACAAGAGCCCUAUUCCCUAUGUAGUGCACUACUUUCGACCAGGGCCCUAUUCCCUAUACAGUACACUACUUUAGACCAGAGUGUCAAUGGCUUUGAAGAAGUAGUGCACUACUUUAGACCAGAGUGUCAAUGGCUUUGAUCAGAAGUAGGGCACUACUUCAGACCAGAGUGUCAAUAAGACGUAGUGCACUACUUCAGACCAGAGUGUCAAUAAGACGUAGUGCACUACUUCAGACCAGAGUGUCAAUAAGACGUAGGGCACUACUUUAGACCAGAGUGUCAACGGCUUUGAUCAGAAGUAGUGCACUACUUUAGACCAGAGUGUCAAUAAGACGUAGUGCACUACUUCAGACCAGAGUGUCAAUAAGACGUAGUGCACUACUUCAGACCAGAGUGUCAAUAAGACGUAGGGCACUACUUCAGACCAGAGUGUCAAUAAGACGUAGUGCACUACUUCAGACCAGAGUGUCAAUAAGACGUAGUGCACUACUUCAGACCAGAGUGUCAAUAAGACGUAGGGCACUACUUUAGACCAGAGUGUCAAUAAGACGUAGGGCACUACUUUAGACCAGAGUGUCAAUAAGACGUAGUGCACUACUUUAGACCAGAGUGUCAAUAAGACGUAGGGCACUACUUUAGACCAGAGUGUCAAUAAGACGUAGGGCACUACUUUAGACCAGAGUGUCAAUAAGACGUAGGGCACUACUUUAGACCAGAGUGUCAAUAAGAGUAGUGCACUACUUUAGACCAGAGUGUCAAUAAGACUUAGGCACUACUUUAGACCAGAGUGUCAAUAAGACGUAGUGCACUACUUUAGACCAGUGUCAAUAGGAAGUAGUGCACUACACAGGGAACAGGGCACCAUUUGAGACGCUCAAACCAAAACAUGAUUACACGGUGUUAAGAAAUGUAGAAAAAAACCAACACAGAAAUCCUUUUGGCAUGAGGAUAAAAGCCUUUUUAAGCCAGAGAGGAGUGUAAAGUAAGGCAGUAACUGUCCUUCAUCAAAUUAUAUUAUUACAUAAACAACAUUUUGUUAAUCUAUUGAAUCCUUUUUGGUUAGUUUGUUGUCGUUUUUCACACAGGGGCUGUUGUUGUAUAAAUAUGACCAGUAUGUGCACUUUCAAACAUUCACGUUUAUAUAAAAAAUAAACAUAAACAGUUUCACUUAGACAACAGCCACAGAAGACAUCACCAGGGAAACUGGGCUACAGUGAGAGAUGGCAGCCAUUUUGGAUCUGUUUUAAACAAGGGUCCCUCAUGUCCUUCAGGGGGUACCUAGGUUUAUGCCUGAUUGAAAAAGAGCUUAAAUUAUUUUUUACUUCAGUGAUCCUUUU
Molecule: long non-coding RNA, 1513 nt
Organism: Oncorhynchus tshawytscha (Chinook salmon)
Lineage: Eukaryota; Metazoa; Chordata; Actinopteri; Salmoniformes; Salmonidae
Source: Ensembl